GGGGAUGACCGGCUUCGAAGGAGAUUUGAAGGCAAAAAACUUCAUGCCGAGGGUGCCUGGCAACCUCGCAAAUCCGCUAGGCAGUUCUAAGUGCAAACUAUCAACCAGCACUCGCCUACGCUUAAUUUAGCGUAAGCCGUUCCGGCUCUUGAGGCCUCAUAAAGAGCUUGGAGCGUAAAAUUAUGGGGCUUGGUUUCAAACAAGCUUCGGUUUGCAACGACUCAAAGAAGUAAAGUUUCGCAAUGUUUUGUUCCGUCUUCAGUUGCGAAACGAAAAUAAGACGGGACUACGCCUGUAAACGUUUCUGCCCGAAAUUUCCUGACGCGGGUUCAAUUCCCGCCAUCUCCACAA
RNAcentral lists this transfer-messenger RNA (351 nucleotides) under Candidatus Niyogiibacteriota bacterium. RNAcentral's name for it is "Candidatus Niyogibacteria bacterium transfer-messenger RNA". It matches the Rfam family "transfer-messenger RNA". Rfam says of the family: Bacterial tmRNA, also known as 10Sa RNA or SsrA, is named for its dual tRNA and mRNA-like properties. Its role is to liberate the mRNA from a stalled ribosome. The record is from RNAcentral. RNAcentral also lists the same sequence under 1 other name. Lineage: Bacteria; Candidatus Niyogiibacteriota.